UGAGUAACACGUAUGGAACCUGCCGUAUACUGGGGGAUAACACUUAGAAAUAGGUGCUAAUACCGCAUAAGCGCACAGCUUCGCAUGAAGCAGUGUGAAAAACUCCGGUGGUAUACGAUGGAUCCGCGUCUGAUUAGCUGGUUGGCGGGGUAACAGCCCACCAAGGCGACGAUCAGUAGCCGGCCUGAGAGGGUGAACGGCCACAUUGGGACUGAGACACGGCCCAAACUCCUACGGAAGGCAGCAG
RNAcentral lists this ribosomal RNA (247 nucleotides) under uncultured bacterium. Its description in RNAcentral is "partial 16S ribosomal RNA". It matches the Rfam family "Bacterial small subunit ribosomal RNA", at positions 107 to 354 of the family's 1533-position model. The record is from RNAcentral.